This is a non-coding RNA of Picea glauca (white spruce), 121 nucleotides long. Lineage: Eukaryota; Viridiplantae; Streptophyta; Pinopsida; Pinales; Pinaceae. The record is from Rfam.
ACUUGGGAUCAGCCUAGGGGUAUUGCACACUGGAUCCCAUUAGAACUCCACAAUUAAGCGCGCUCAGGCUAGAGUAGUACUAGGAUGGGUGACCACCCAGGAAGUCCUAGUGUUUUACAUG